AACGAUACAGAGAAGAUUAGCAUGGC
Molecule: non-coding RNA, 26 nt
Filed under: Cricetulus griseus (Chinese hamster)
Lineage: Eukaryota; Metazoa; Chordata; Mammalia; Rodentia; Cricetidae
Also listed under: 1 other name
Source: RNAcentral